UACGUAGGGUGCGAGCGUUAAUCGGAAUUACUGGGCGUAAAGUGUGCGCAGGCGGCGUUGCAAGUCGAGUGUGAAAUCCCCGAGCUUAACUUGGGAAUUGCGCUCGAAACUACGAUGCUCGAGUAUGGCAGAGGAAGGUGGAAUUCCACGUGUAGCGGUGAAAUGCGUAGAGAUGUGGAGGAACACCAAUGGCGAAGGCAGCCUUCUGGGCCAACACUGACGCUCAUGCACGAAAGCGUGGGGAGCAAACAGG
This 253-nucleotide ribosomal RNA is filed under the name uncultured bacterium. RNAcentral's name for it is "partial 16S ribosomal RNA". It matches the Rfam family "Bacterial small subunit ribosomal RNA", at positions 524 to 776 of the family's 1533-position model. The record is from RNAcentral.